Molecule: long non-coding RNA, 9465 nt
Filed under: Setaria italica (foxtail millet)
Lineage: Eukaryota; Viridiplantae; Streptophyta; Magnoliopsida; Poales; Poaceae
Description: long non-coding RNA (SITA_LNC004390)
Source: RNAcentral
AAGGCAGGGACAACUGUGAUGGCGUAAUCUGGCACUAAGGGGCGGGGGAUAAUCCAGGUGAGUCCCGUAGGGUUAUCUUCGUCCAUUCCCCGUAUUCAAUCUUCAUAGUUGUCGUUGCAGCCAUUGAUUUCAUCUUGCAUUAGACAUCCUUUCUUAGUGUUGCAUGACCUUGAUGUACUAAUCUAGAGUAGGUGACAUAUGUUGUUCCCCAUCAGGCAAGAGUGGCUUGAAGGGUAGGGCCUGUUCGCUUCAGCUUAUAAGCCGGCUAAAAAGCUGAAACGACUGAUUUGUUGUGAGAGGAAAACACUGUUUGGUGGCUGAUAAGCCAGUUGAAUGAGCUCAAGCGAAUAGACCCGUAGUUAGUAAGUCAGUUAGUGAGAAAUCAAGGAUAUAGUCGUAGAAUGCAAGGGAUUCAUAUAGUAAUCAAGGAGUAUAUACUCAAUCAAGGAUGUUUAGGCUGUCCGAAGCUAUCGUCCAUUUCUAGGGAUCGUCCUACGAUCAAGUAUCGCUCUGAUACCAACCUGAAUUUCCAUUUUUGAGAAUUCAAGCCCACGCACCUCCGUGAUAGUUUCAGAAAGGCUAUCACGUGCGAAUCUCUAUCUUAGAUAGUAUAAAUCCAUACCAACACAGAAAUAUAGAGUAGCAACAGAGUAUAAACAUCAUAAAUAUCGAGUACAUCACUUCGGCAUAUGCCGGUACAAGUCUAUCAGGACCGAAUCAAGAAAGGUAAAACAUCUACGCAGCGGAAACAUGAGCUAUGGCGAACACCAUCUCGAGAGGCAACUUGAGUGAGGGACCAUCCCUAGUCUUCCCAUCAGUCAUUGCCAAAGCCGUAGUCGAGCUCUGACCCUGAAAAGCCACCAUCUACCCGAGAAGCGGGUAGGCCAUGUCAACUCCCAAUAGUAGCAAGCUAAGAAAAUAGGGGAAUAAUCCAAUAUGCUUGGGUAAUCCUAUUUAUGGCUGUAGAGGUUUAUGCAGCAGCAACAACAACAUUCAAGGAAGCAGCAAAGCAACACCAUCUCUGAGGUCAACACCUCAAUCAAGGAAGUCAUCACAAAUUACCAGAUCCUUUACCCAAAAAUCCAGCACCCAAACACACUAGGCGAUGUUAGAGCUCCCUUCCCUCACAUCUCAAUGGCAAAUGCCGACCUAUCUCAAAAAGAGGUGGUAGAAGAGUGAACAAAGUCUAGUCAGAAGUAGCGGUCGUCAACAACACUGUCCAUAACCAGUGGACAUGGAAUAUAGUUAUAGAUUUACACACUCUACAUAUGUUGUACAACUGUACCCGCAUGGAUGGAGCUUGAACGGGGAUCAGCCGUCCAAACCCUACCUAACAGCCAGAGCCCUAGUAGGUGGAUAGCUCUCUUCUGUUUCCUCGAGUCUGGAACCAUCCUCAGCUGCAGGGCACGCCGUCACCAGUGAGGACCUCGAAGCUGUGAAACCUACCCAUGUUGGGGUGCAGUCUAGUCAGAACAGGCCAACGCCUCGAACUCCUUACACGAUCCUCCAUUCCGCCUACAGGCUGAGCACUAUCCACCACUAGUCUCGGACCGAACCCUGCCCAUAACGUAAGCGAGUGGUAUAAACGAAAAUAGAUGCUAUGACUAUUGGUAAACUGACUCAGUCCUUAAGCGGCCGAGAGUGAGCACUCUACUCCUCGAGUAUGUGCCGAAGCACCUACAACAUACACAUACGCCACUUGCUCCUCAAUAUAAAACAAGGUACCCACCAUAUGUACAGGGUAUAGAGAGAGUCCAGAAUGCUCUGUCCCAGCAAGGCACUCCUCAGUACCAACCACGGCUCGCCCCCGCCAAAAAACAUCAAGAAGUCACACUCACCCAAAAAACAUGCGAGAGUGUUCAAGGAAUCCUAUCACCAAAACCAUGGCAUAUGCCCAUCCAUAACUCAAAAGCAUGUAUGUGGAAAUAAGUGCAGUGGACUAGCUAGGGGUCUGUAGCUAGUCCAAAAGUAGGUACAAGGAAAAUAGGAUAAACAAUUAUCAAGGCAUGGCUAAAAACAUUGGCUAUGCAAUCCAUCAACAUCAAGCAUCAUAAAUAAAGCGCUAGCAACUAAGCAUGCAUAGGAUCUAUAUGAUUGGGAGUGACAUGACACCUUAUUCAUUGUCAUCGAAGUCCUCGAUGAUGAAGUUGAGGUUGAAGGGUCUUCUUAGUCGUCGCAGCUUGAGACUUCAAACAGGUCUACAACAUACACGAGAUGCGACGCGAAAAUAAAUAACGAACAAUACAUCUAAUGCAAAAAUACCAAGAAGAGCAUGAUAGAAUAUACAAAUAACUCCAAACUAGCUACAAAUACCAUGGGUUCAAUUUUCAAAAAUUGAUGAAAUUGGUUUCACAAUUUUCUAAGCUAGUAUGAAUUAGUUAUGAAUUAAUAAGGAAGUAAGGCAAAUUAAUCAAUUUAAAUUCAGAAACUAAGGUAGGGACAUGUGUCAGCUCCUAGUUGUAUGACGGGUCUCGCAGCUUAGAUCUUCUAUGUUCACGCGAGCAUGUGGGUUGCGACGUGGUAGGCUUGAGACAGGCUGGGCGCGUGCAUGUGCAAGAUGCUCGAGCAAAUGCCCUAAAGGAAGCGGCGGCGCAAUAGAGCAAAGGCGACGGUGCAGGCUUUGAUGUCGGCGUGGAGCGACAAGGUGGCGGCUUGGCAGACAACGGCGGCAAGGUAGAGUGGCGCAACGCAUAUGGGUGGCAGGUGCAUGGCCACAACGAGCCAGAGCUCGUGGCCGUGGCGCAAGGCGACAGCUUGGCAGUAGCGAUCUGUAUGGAAAGAUGGUGGCUUGCGGCGAUAGAAUAAAGGCAAUGUGCAGUGCGGUGGCGAGGUUGCAAGGCAGCGGCAAGAGCGUGGCGACGUGAGCACUUGCAAGGAUACAAGCUCAGCUCAAAGGCCGGCGACAUAGGCAAUCAAGGCAAGGCAACAACUUGGACAGUCGGCGGGUCGUCGGUGCAAGGGGGAGGGAGGAGAGCGUGCGUGUGUGGCUCACCAGGCAAGAUUAGCUUUCACACAAAACGUUGUGUAGGUUGUGGACAUGGCUAGCUCGACGAAGGCUCGCGGUUUAGGCAUUUUACCGAACAGGUUGAGGGCAAGGUAGUUCUUGACGAAGGCGCCAGCCAUGUAACGUCAGCUUCCUUGUCUUUGUGGCCGUCGAUGACGUCUUCUCCGGUGGUGCUGCUAUGGCUGUCCCGCUCAUCCUCGUAGCCAUCGGCGGCGGUGCUUGGUGCAGACGGUGGCCUCCUCCUCUAGCUCAUCGCUGUCGUCCCCUCUACCCUCCAGCUUGGCUUGGAGUAGACGGAGACGUAGGCGUCCGCAGCGUGGUGAAGUCGUCGAUGAGGAGGUUGUGCAGCUCCACUCCAAGAAUCACUAGUGCUGCUUCUCUUCACGACGGCGGCAUUCCACCGGUUCUCCUCCUCUUUUUUUCCCCUCUUCUCCUUCUACUAGCUGGUGGCAUGCAGGAAAAGCUCAGGCUGCUGGAUUGCUUCGGGUGGAAGGGAGAGCAAGGAAUGAGGAGAAGCGCAGAUGCUACGGUUUGCUUCUCCAUGGGAACAAAGAAGGAAGAAAGAGAGCAGAGUGGUGGCGACAUCCUGUGGCAAAGAUGGAGAGGGUGCAGCUGCUAUGAGGCUUUAUAGCUCGAGGAGUAGGGUUCCGGGGGCGAGCUCCUGUAGGACGGCCGGCCGGUGAUCUUUGAUUCGUGAGCUUGAGGCCACACGGUGAGCAUCAGGCUUGGUUGGGCGAAGCAGUGCCACGCACAUGAGUGCUAGCAAGGCGGUAGCGUGCGCUGAGCUGCUUGUGCGUGGGGGAAAGUGGAGCAGGGCAUCUGUGCACGGCGCGGGUGUCGACUUCCCGUCGCAGAAUGGGUUGCCCCCUCGCCAAUCCAUUUUGUGGAACGAUGACGAAGAAGAGAGAACAGGACAGAGAGAAGCAGCGUUGGCUCCGCGUGAAGACGACACGACGAGGUGCUGGUGUGUCCGUUGAUGGCUAGCGGAGCAGGCCGAGCUGGGCCAUUGCGGGCUGCUGCUUAUCAGGCCAAGGUAGAAAUAAAAGAAGGAUCAGCUAGGUUAAGCUGGUUUGGCUCAGGCCGAUGCUCAGCUAACUGGUUUAGAUAAAGAGAGACAUAGCCUGGGCUUUUCGUGAAAGAAGAGAGGAAGAGAGCAAGGAGAUUAACGUGGACUUGUUUUUGGUUUUUGGCUAGGGUGAUUAGCCGGCGUUAGCUGGUUAGUUAGCAAGCUGAUUAGAGAAGGAAAAGACAGAUGGUCAAGGAGAUUGUUAGCGGACUUGCCGGGCAGUUUGGCUAGUGGACAACUCGGGUGCAAAGUCAGUCCAAUUAGGUUUUUAUUAUGCUAUUUACAUGUUAGCUUUAGUUUGUAUUUUGAAUUAGAUUCAAAAUACAAACUCACACAUGAGAUCCAAAUAAAAUCAAAUGAAAAUCCAAAUCACUCAUGCAAGCAUGUUUUAAAUUUGAAUGCACAAUUUUAAUUACUAGCUUUUGAAUUUAGGGGAAAGAAGUGAGGGUUGACCUUAAUUUUGACCAUGUAAUUAAAUGAUCCACACAUUCAAACAAAUUUUUUAAAUUUUUGCAAAAAUUGGCACAAUUAAAAUCACUCAAUUUUGAGGGAUAUUACAGUCUCUCCCCCUCAGGUUAAUCUCGUCCUCGAGAUUAAGGCUGUACUAGGUGCAGUAGGGUACUCAUCUUCUUCGAUUUGUCCUCACUCUUCCCAAUAUCUUCGAUUUCAGCCUAGAUACUCUUUUGACGAGCAUGGGUCUUCGUUGGUGACCUUACUUCUUCAAGUGUUGCCACCUAUUUGAAGUUCAAAAACUCUUGUUUCCAUGAGUGGUUCUUCGAAGUCAAGUGCUAUUGCCUAUCGUCUCUUGGUGUAGCAUCCAUAAGCACUUCUCUAAUUGUAAUCCAUAUCUCAUGGGCUAUACCUUCAUUGAGGCCUUGUGAAAUUCCAAUUUAUAGGGUAGGGUCCCAUUGUCUUAAUCCAUCUCAUCUAGUCGUGUAUACCUCGGCUUUGGUUAGCUUAGGUUUAGAGUCUUUGUGCCCAAUAGAAUACGAUGAUCUCAAAUUAUUGCAAUCCUUCAAUUCGAGGCUAUUAGAUCCUUCUUGUCAGCGUAGCCCUUGCUAGCUACUUAGACUUAUUCCAUCAUAUUCCUUAUGCACUUGGCCAUGUUCUCACGGCAUCCAUUAUGUACUUUUAAUCCAAUAAGGCACGAUUCUCCCACUUCUUUCCUCGUGCAAGGAGUCGUAUACUUUUUGCCCAACAGAGUUCUUAAAUCCGAUAUUUCCGAUCAUACCAAGUAGCUUGGUGAUAAUGGGGUAGUGCAUAUGAAAAAAUCUUAUCCAAUACUUUGUUAUAUACAAAAGCAUGCAUCCUUAGCAUCUACUCACGUAUAGGGUUGUCCUCUUCCAAAUUUAACUCCUUAUCCGAAAGUGAUACCCUAGGUGGUAGACGAGUCUCAUUCCAAGGGUUUGAUAGGCGGUUACUAGGCACCACUGCUUAUUGAGAUUCGAUUCAUGGCAUUUUCCUUUAUAGACCACGAAGUAGGUUAUUUAACCUUUCAUCCUUGGUCACCAUACCUUCAUCCUUGAAUUCUUAAACCUCUUGGUGUAACAAUGUGAAAGCAUGAGCUUCUUUCAGGAUCGUUUCUUAAUUAUGAUCCAUUUGGCACAUCAUUGCACUAUUUGUCUCCAUGGGUGCCUUACUCCAUGAUCCUGGGACCUAGGUUCACUCUUGAGUCCAAAAUCUCUUUUCUUCGUCCAUCUUUUGAACAUCCCUAGGUUUCUCUUAUUUAUCCAAAUAGUCUUCUUGAUUCCAUGUCCAUCUAGGACAUGUUGAAGACAUUAAAUUAUUAUCUCUUGAUCCAUAAGUACAUAUUAUGGAUUUCCAAAGUGUUAGUGCAGCCACAUCUCCAUGGCAUGCAUUCUAAAUUAGCUAACUGCAUCGUAGGCUUAGAUAGCUUGCUUCUUACCUCUUUAGCUAUAGCAAGGAUUAUGUACUCACUUCUUGCAUAAGUACAUGAAGUAUGCACUAUGUCGAAACAUGUAUUCAUAGAAGGCCCUUGUAUGGUUAAUUAAGGUGACUCCCGCUCAAGGGUUAGUCAAUCUUGCCUAACGACUAUUCUCGCGUCCAUUAAUCCAUACCAACUUCACAGGUUACUUUAUUUUAUAAUCCAUUGUUGGUUUAGCACGUCUUGAACGGUUCUCAUCAAAGUGCUAGCAUUAUCCAACAGAAUCAAUUAUCUCUUGAUUUCAACUAUUAUGCAUGGUUACUCCCCAUUCAUGGUAGUCCAUGUUCGGAGGAGUCAUCUGCAACAACCUCGACUAUGUGAGAUAAUCUCUUCAACCAAAAGCUCACACUAGUCAAUUUUGUACCCAACAAGGUAGAUCUUCUCAAGCGUAUAACUUGCAUCUUACAAAUGCUCAUUAGCACUCUCGGGCUAGUUGAGGUUAACCCUUACGAAUACCAUAACACUUAACCAAUUCCCAAUAGGGUCCUUAUUCCUCAUAUCUAGGGGCGGUUUGGAUCACUUAACAAUCCAUAGUGUGAAUCCCGAUCCCUUGCAAAUCCUUUAUAUUAUUCCUCUUGAUGGUAUUCUUACCUUAUACAUAUCCUGAAAAUUUACAUGGCUUCAUCUCUUUGCCAUGUUACUCUGCAAUUCCAAUUAAAUAAUUUCACUUGUUGGUUAGUUCAUCUAGGUGGGCAAUUACCCUCUCUUGUUCUCACAAUCUCUUCUUACUCCCUUUCCAAUAGAGUAGGUGGUUCCAACUACUAGGUCCGAUCACUUUUAUCCAGUAGUCCUUAUGUUUAUUUCUCAUGCCACUAGUCCAAUAGGUAGUGUCCAAUAGAGCUUCUUUACUAUUGAAGUUAUUCCAAAAGUGGGGUCGAUCGGAACUCCAUAACUUAAUCUACUUGUAGACCUAGUAAUUCCAUAAGAAUUCCUUCAUGUAUCCUUUUCCAAAGGCAUAACUCAUGGUGCUUAUCCAGUUACGCUGCUUAUUCACUAGUUCCGAAAGAACUCCUUUGGAGUAGAUGCUAGGUUAUAUUCCAUAGUAUGACUUAAGGAUGACUACUCAUGUAACAAAAACCUUGUAUCCUUCGAGUUUGGUCAUUCAAACCAUAUCCAAAACUUCAACAAUACCUUUGGGUCGAAGUAUUGUCUAGUCAGUUGCGAGUCCAUUUGCUUCCACAUAUUGGUGAUGUCAUAGUUUUAUAGCCAUGGAUUUGUUAUGUCCGAGUGGCAGGGGAAAUGUAAAUCUAGAAAGAACGCAUGAUUGUCCAUCCAUGGGAGGUUCAAUGCACAUAUUAAGGGUUUUAGCAGUGCAGAUUAUCUUCGAUCGCCAAAAUGGCUUGGAACGAACAAACACUUACAUCCAUUCUUUUGUUAUCUUGGGAUCCUUUUGAAGGCACUUGAUACUCGUGUUCGUGUUUCAACUUCCAAGAUAUGAAGGUACCAUGUUCCAGGUCCUUGCUUGGGUUUACCUGAGAUAGGGAGAGCCCUCUUAUUGGCAAAUCUCAUCCUUUCAUUUGACAAUUCCAAGCAAGGUGCAAAUGGGAAGCUAGAGUACUCCAGUGGAAACUCUUAAAUUAUUUGUUCCAUUGGGGGUACUUUCUCUUUGUCCACUAAUUAAGUACCAAUAAUUGAUUGUACUUGUCCAAAUGCAUCGCUAGUGUCUCAGGGUACUCAAUUGCUCUUAACCAAUAUGUGCUUCCAUGGGUAUACAUGCACUUCUGAACUUGUGAGGUUCCAAAUUCUCGAGGCACUCAUAACCAGGACUAUGAUCUGAAUUCCAAUAUUCAUAGGUAGCUUAUCCAACGUCGUAGUCUGACUUGUCGAGAUUGCAAUGAAAUUUCUUCUCUUCUUUUGAAGUAGAUCUUGUUAAUUUGCUUGAACGCGUCAGUAUUCAUUCUUCAAGCUCAUGGUCUUGUAGCAAGGUAGGCUAAGGCUUCUAAAGGAGUCAUCUAAAGGAUCUAGCAAGAGUGAGCACACAAUACAAUUUCACACAAACAUGAAGAUGCAUAAGAUCCAUAAGACCAUAAAGAUCCAAUUCACUCAAACAAUGCACCAAACCAAAGAGCGUAUCUCGAGGCUAACUCCUAAGACCUUCGAUAUUACACUCAGACGAUAAGAAGUGUACUAGUAUAUCAUGGCCAUGGGGGUAUGUAGGGGUUCUCUAAUGUUAGUGAUAUAUCAUUGAAUGGUACAAGCUUCAUUUCGACUUCUACAUCUAUUCCAUAUCAUGAUUUUGUGUGAAGCUCCCAAAGAAAGCUGGUGAAACUCUGUAUUUAUGCUAGCCCAUCUUGUUGGUUGUAUUCCAUAUUGCCUUGGGAACACUUAAUGCAUUCAGGUCUGCAUCCUUUAGCAAACCUAGGUUCUUGAACCAACCGGGUUAAAAUCCCGUUACCAAAUUAUCUUUUCUGAUAGAAUGUGUUCCAUAAGUAGCCUUAGAAGCACAUGGGUUCUAGUAGGGGGGAGCUAAAAUCUCCACGUUCUUAGACCAAGGCUUCUCAUCCAACUUUGCUAGUUCAGAUACUCUGUCGUAGUUGGACUACUCUCCUUCUUCCAUGGUUCUCACAGCUUUGUCCUUGCAAGGAGGGGUGCUUGCUGUCCAUUUCUAUUCAUUCUCCGUUAUGAUUUCCUUUGUUUGUUCGCCUUUAGAUGGGACAACUUCUCUUGUAGGUCUUUAAAAUCCAUGCCCCCAAAUUUCUCACACUUAUUCGCAAUGGAAAAUUCCUUAUGGUGAAUUAACAAGUCCAUAUUCAUGAUUCCUUAUUCCUGGUACGUGAUGCUAGCUUGCAGGGUGAUCUUAGUCUUCCAUUCAAUCAAUCAUUUUGCCUCAUGUAGCUGCUGCUUGUUACAAUAUCUUAAUCCUUUGCAACUUGACCACACUUGUAGCUUCAAGUCUAUAAAUCUUCAUCCACAUGUUGAGCUACGGGCAUCUCAGAAGUUUCCAAAUCCUGCAUCCCAGAUCAUGUGUGCAGAUACAAUGUAGUAGAUUAUCAUACAUCCUUAUGUUGGCCCCACAGCGAGUUAAAAUCUCAAGUCCUCAUUCUCUUCAUAGUGUGGACCCGGGCGACCAUCCGGUCUUCUUCCUAAAAACUCCCAAGUUCUUGAAUUGGCCUGAGCUAGAGGCGGCAGGGUAUAUCUAUAGUUGUAGCCUUAUCCGCAUGUGGACCUGACGUAGCAUACUUGUGGCAGUCUAAUCAUCCUCUGAUAGACCGAAUUCAAGGGCAGGGACAACUGUGAUGGUGUAAUCUGGCACUAAGGGGCGGGGGAUAAUCCAGGUGAUUCCUGUAGGGUUAUCUUUGGCCAUUCCCCAUAUUCAACCUUUAUAGUUCUUGUUGCAGUCAUUGACUUCAUCUUGCAUCAGACAUCCUUCCUUAGUGUUGCAUGACCUUGAUGUACUAAUCUAGAGUAGGUGACAUAUGUUGUUCCCCAUUAGGCAAGAGUUGCGUGAAG